AGUGAACGCUGGCGGUAGGCCUAACACAUGCAAGUCGAACGGCAGCACAGUAAGAGCUUGCUCUUACGGGUGGCGAGUGGCGGACGGGUGAGGAAUACAUCGGAAUCUACUUUUUCGUGGGGGAUAACGUAGGGAAACUUACGCUAAUACCGCAUACGACCUACGGGUGAAAGCAGGGGAUCUUCGGACCUUGCGCGAUUGAAUGAGCCGAUGUCGGAUUAGCUAGUUGGCGGGGUAAAGGCCCACCAAGGCGACGAUCCGUAGCUGGUCUGAGAGGAUGAACAGCCACACUGGAACUGAGACCCGGUCCAGACCCCCACGGGGGGCAGCAGUGGGGAAUAUUGGAAAAUGGGCGCAAGCCUGAUCCAGCCAUACCGGGGGGGUGAAGAAGGCCUUCGGGUUGUAAAGCCUUUUUGUUGGGAAAAAAAAGAAGCAGGUUAAUACCCCGCUGUUCUGACGGUACCCAAAAAAUAAGCACCGGCUAACUUCGU
This 491-nucleotide ribosomal RNA is filed under the name uncultured bacterium. Its description in RNAcentral is "partial 16S ribosomal RNA". It matches the Rfam family "Bacterial small subunit ribosomal RNA", at positions 29 to 506 of the family's 1533-position model. The record is from RNAcentral.